GCCAUCCCAACCCUUUCAAGUGCCGUUACCGCAGGGCAUCAGCGGGGAUGCUCUGGUGAAGAUGAUGGAGGAUCUGGUUGAAGGAAAUAUCACGAGAAGGCUGCCGCGCAUAAUCGAGGCGGUGCUGAAGGUGGUUUCUGCAAGUUUCCAAGCCUCCAUAGACAAGGAGGUCGAUUUGAUUUCAAAGGCGAGGGCCGCGGACGCCACCCGGAUUAAAAAUCUCUCUGAUGGUUUGGGUAACCUGAAAUCUGAAGUAGCCCGGCGGUUUGAUAAGCUUCGCACCAAAGACCCGGAGGGGUUGCGGGCUCGGAUCGAAGCAAUGGAAGAAGAUUCAGUUGUCACCAAGAAUCACCUGGAGGAUCUGCGGCGGCGGGUCGGAAAGUUGGAAGGAGAUUCCAAGGCCGAGACUAAAAAUCCAGGGAAAGAGGUGGAGAAUGUGAAGGGUAGGAUUCUAGAAAUCGGACAGCUGCGAGCCGGCUUGACCGAGAAUUUGGCGAAGGAGACUGAGCAAGCCCCUGAAAGUACUCGGAGGUUACAGCAUGAUGAUGGCUUGACUCGCAAGCAAGCUUCCGCUUUCACAGAGGAAUUACGUGGAUCUGUAGUUGAGGUCAUUCAGGCUGCUAUGGAUGAUUUUCUCCGGUCUUCAUCGCUUCAAGAUCUGAAGAACAGUCUUGAAGACACUAUCGAGCGACAAAUCGUUAGAGGAAUUGCUACUAUUGCUAGCCAGCAUUCUAAAUUCGAGGUUUCACUUUCUCAGAAGUUUCAGGGUUACGUUGAUGCUGUGUGGACAACCACGAACAGUUUGAAGUCUUUGCUAGCUGAUUUUCGAAGUCAGGACUUGUCUUUCCGGAUACCUAAUCCAGAGGAAGCGUCUUCAUCAGGUGCCAAAGAUCAGGAGCACAGCUCUGUUUGAAAGGUAAAUUUAAUUGGUUUAGUGUUUUGGUUUUUGAGAUUGUGUAGGUGUUUUUUUAUUUUAUUAACUGUGUAUUAUUGCAUGUUUACUUAUUUUAUUAGCAGGUUUGAAUUUAUGUUAUUGCUUGUUUUUUCAGUGGGAUAUGCUACCUAUCCUUUGCUGCCAUUUGAUUUCUGUUUUGUUCAAUUAUGUCUUUGUAUGGAGGGAUUAGGCCUAUAUUACUCUCUAUUCCCGCAAAAUAUUCCAUUUCUCUAGUAAUUUCUAGAGGGAUCGCCUGGUGUUAUUUCCUAACUGUAAAUAUUAAAUUAAAUUUCUAGCAGGACUCGUCUGUUCAGAUAACUACUACAGAGGGAGCAUCCUCUUCAGAUGCCAAAGAUUAGGAGCACAGCUCUGUUAGAGAGGUUUCCCGAUUCUUCUUCAAGAUCAGAGCUGUUGUGAAAUCAGAAAAGUCUGAGAGUAGUUAUCAAAUGUAAUCUAACGGAUCUUCUGUUUCGAAUAGAUGUUUUAAAAUUGACACGUUAAGGCUUGUACCCAUUAUUAGUUGGAUUGCACGUGCAAUGCACGUGGUAAAAUAUUUAUUAUUUAUUUUCAUUUUAUAA
RNA transcript from Asparagus officinalis (garden asparagus), 1512 nucleotides. RefSeq lists it as uncharacterized. NCBI's taxonomy places the organism in Eukaryota, Viridiplantae, Streptophyta, Magnoliopsida, Asparagales, Asparagaceae. The record is from RefSeq and is a predicted model, not a curated record. The transcript has 6 exons.